CACUCUGCGGUGUCAAAGUCAAGCAUGUGGUGAGACUGCCAUCAGCAACGAAAAGUUUCGAUCACUGAAUUAUUUGAUUGUAGUGACCAUUUGGCAAAUGAGUCCGUCCACGGAAACGUUUGCUAUUGUUCCUCGAUUGCCUAAAUCUGUGUUAGUGUGUUACCCAUGUGUCCCGUAACGCCGUCCCUAACGUGGUUGAAACAAAUUUGUAAAAUCAAAGAAAUUAUGCUUGAAACAUCCAUGUGCCCAGAUCACAUUGGUACAACAGAGGCAUGGAUUGUUUCGCCUGUAUCGAAUGUUUCAAUCUCCCUUAUUGAAAAAAAUAAGUGCUACAAAAAGAUUCUGUUCUCUGUGUGAGUAAAAAUCACCCUACCGCCAAGUACUUGAUGAAGUGAACUCAAACAUUCAGUUACAGCAACAUCUAACUAUGUGAACUGUCAGAUGGAAUGUAUGCCUGAAAUCUGAAAAAUUCCAAUCUCCAGAAUGCAUGGGGACUGGGGUGGAUUACAGUUCCACAACGAACAAAAAAAAAUCGUUGAAAUGGUGUGGAAUCGUCGAGAGGCAACCCAGUUUUGCUUACGUGUUCAAGGAUCAAUGGAGAAAAAAUUGAGCAAAAUUCCUUAUUUCACUGUCAGACUCUGGAAUCUUUGGAUCACGACCGACAUUGGAGAGAAUGCUGGUUAUUCAUUGCAAAACUCAUCUUUGUAGAAAAAACGAAGAAAUUGGCUUUGGUGAUUAAACUCUUGUCUUUGAGGACAAAAUACGUGACAGCUCCUUGAGCCCCCAUCAAAUGAACUGUUGUUAGCAGUUUGGCCAAGACGGAAUUUGAAAAGUUCCUUUAUCACGAGCGAUAUUAUCUGAGGAAGGAUACUUCCACGGCACAGAAAACGAACAUAUGGCAACCACAAUUGCUAUCUGGAACUCGUCGAAUAAGUUGCUAGUGAGAGUCUGGUAUUAUUGUGGUGCGCACUUAAGUUAACUUACGGUUCAUAGUAAAGUUGGAAUCACUAUCAAGGGAAAAAGCAGUCGAAGACUCCUGUACCAAUUGACUUCAUAUUUUAGUUGGGUAUGGGAAAUUAAAAUUUAAAAAGAAAUUAAAAAAAAUCAAACCUUUGGGCGCUAGCGAAGAGUUGGAGCUAACCUGCAACUAUCGAGAUCAUCAAAACGAGAAGGAGAUUGUUGAAAAAAAAAUGGAUCAGCUCUUCAAAUUCAAAAAGCUAUUUUUUGAAAUUAGGCAUUAAGACACAUUUGUUAAUGAAUAAUUUAUUUAUUUUGAAUCGAAUUUAAUUUAAGUUAAAAUUUUUGUUCUAAGGAGCGGCAAAUGGAAGCAUAAUUGAUGACGGUGGAACAUUUCAGGAGACUUCAAUUUUAACAAGAACUUAAUAAUAAGCAGGAGCCAUGUACGAAGGAGCUUUGUAUGCUGGUGGAGAAUAUGCUGGUGGAGUGUAAGCGGGAGGUGUGUAUGCAGGAGGUGUGUAUGCAGGAGCCAUUGGUUUGUAUCCGUAUCCGGGAUUACCAGCCACCACCGCAACGGCAGCCAAGAAGCAAACGGC
Molecule: long non-coding RNA, 1553 nt
Filed under: Daphnia pulicaria
Lineage: Eukaryota; Metazoa; Arthropoda; Branchiopoda; Diplostraca; Daphniidae
Description: uncharacterized LOC124350323, transcript variant X4
Source: RNAcentral